This 606-nucleotide ribosomal RNA is filed under the name uncultured bacterium. Its description in RNAcentral is "bacterial SSU rRNA". It matches the Rfam family "Bacterial small subunit ribosomal RNA", at positions 60 to 655 of the family's 1533-position model. The record is from RNAcentral.
AGUCGAGCGGUAACAGAGGGUAGCUUGCUACUUUGCUGACGAGCGGCGGACGGGUGAGUAAGGCUUGGGUAUCUGCCCAGUCGAGGGGGAUAACCGUUGGAAACGACGGCUAAUACCGCAUACGCCCUACGGGGGAAAGCAGGGGAUCUUCGGACCUUGCGCGAUUGGAUGAGCCCAAGUGAGAUUAGCUGGUUGGUGAGGUAAUGGCUCACCAAGGCGACGAUCUCUAGCUGGUCUGAGAGGAUGACCAGCCACACUGGGACUGAGACACGGCCCAGACUCCUACGGGAGGCAGCAGUGGGGAAUAUUGCACAAUGGGGGAAACCCUGAUGCAGCCAUGCCGCGUGUGUGAAGAAGGCCUUCGGGUUGUAAAGCACUUUCAGUGGUGAGGAAAGGCAAGUGGCUAAUACCCGCUUGCUGUGACGUUAACCACAGAAGAAGCACCGGCUAACUCCGUGCCAGCAGCCGCGGUAAUACGGAGGGUGCGAGCGUUAAUCGGAAUGACUGGGCGUAAAGCGCACGCAGGCGGUUUGUUAAGCCAGAUGUGAAAGCCCCGAGCUCAACUUGGGAACAGCAUUUGGAACUGGCAAGCUAGAGUCUUGGAGA